This 16322-nucleotide long non-coding RNA is filed under the name Lathyrus oleraceus (garden pea). Its description in RNAcentral is "Pisum sativum (pea) long non-coding RNA (PSAT_LNC042019)". The record is from RNAcentral. Lineage: Eukaryota; Viridiplantae; Streptophyta; Magnoliopsida; Fabales; Fabaceae.
UUACAUUGGAAAUUUUUUCAUUCAUAUUCAAGAAUUUCCACAUACUCAUUCAUAGUUCGAUCACUUCGUUCAUUCAUUCAAUCAUAAUCAUCCAUGUACAUGGCAUAUGAAUAACUUAUAAUCAAAAAGAAUCUCAUCACAUGAAUACUUGAAGUUUCUAAGAUGCAAAGAGAGAUCUUUGUCUUGCUACAAGAAACACCGAUUUUCAUUCAUUGCAAAUCAUAAGAUUAUCCAAAAAAAAAACAUACAUAAUUUACAAAAAUUGGCAUUUGGACCAAAUCCAACCAUCACCUUUCCCAUCCUGAAGAAAUUCACUCUUGUAAGCAUCAGUUUGCUGAUUUCCAUAUGAUUCCUGAAGAUCAGCUGCCUCAACCUGAAUCUCUACCCAAUUGUAAUCCACUGCCGUGUUCUAAACAACUUGAAGACAGUCACAUCAGAGACAUCAAACCAAUACAUCAAGAUCAUCAUUUAUAGAAAUCAUCAUAUUCAUCACUCGAUGUUACUUACUUUGAUAGGAUCCUUCUAACCUUCCAUUUCCAAAAAGAUAAGCCAUGGAUGAUUCAGCUUGUUGCUGUUACUUGCAUUUCUUUAGAUGAAGGACCUUCACCCAUUGAUAGCCGGCAUCUAAACAGACCUCAAACCUGCAGCAUCAAACGCAACGAGUUUUGCGUAAAUUCACCAAGUUUCGAUGUACUUAGAUGGCAUGAACAAAGAAGAAAAAGCUUACCGUAAGUGAAUGUCAGCAUGGUCACUACAGCAAACACAACUAUGGCCCUGCAAGAAUUAAACCAAAUCACAAUGCUCACUAUCAAAACCAGAUCAACAAGAAUCAGCACUUGGAAAAGAAGAAGAGCAAGAACAAGAUCAUUCAUUCAGUGUCAAGAAUUUUCUCUAGCAUGGUGGUUCUAUUUGGGAUGCAUGGUUCAGUUGUGCUUCAAAUCAAGUGGCUCAGGUUUUGUUGACACUGACAUUUUCUUUCUCUCAAUUUUGUAUGCUAUCUGGAAUCUUGAUUCAAAUAUCCCAUGGAAUUCUUGGAGGCUGGACUGCUUAUCUCAUCAGUGUCCUAUAUGUUGAGUACCGAACUGGAAAAGAAAAGGAAAAUGUUAAUUUCAAGAACCAUGUUAUUCAGUAGUUUGAAGUGCUUGAUGGGCUACUGGGUAAUUGGGUCUAGCUUUCAACUGUACUUUCUUUCUCUUUGGAUUUGUGAUUCAGCUUAUAGUUUGUGCAAGCAACAUCUACUACACAAAUGACAACUUGGACUUACAUAUUUGGAGUAUGUUGUGCGACAACUGUGUUCAUUCCAUCGUCUCAUAAUUACCGUAUUUGGUCUUUUCUUGGACUUGGAAUGAUCACUUACACUGCUUGGUAUCUUACUAUAGCGGCUAUUGUUCAUGGACAGGCAAAAAAUCUGACACACAGUGGUCCAAAAAGUUAGUGCUAUAUUUCACUGGAGCAACUAACAUACCAUACACAUUUGGUGGACAUGCUGCUACUGUAGAAAUUAUGCACGCCAUGUGGAAGCCUCAAAAGUUCAAACACAUCAGUAAAGAAGAAAAGAGAUUGAAGUUAGGGUAGCUGCUGCAAGACUGUUGCAGCAAAAGUCAGAGGCACCGCAGUCUCCGAAUGAAGGAGAAAGGGAUGACAGGGCAUUGGAUUUGUCUUCAGGGUCUAGUCAGAGGACAGGAAAUGUCUCAUGCUUGUGGGUUGGGUAAAUAUGCUGAUAAAAGUAGCAGUCCUAAGAAUUAUUUGCAAGAUAUCAGCCUCAGAUGAAUGAAACAGCAAAAGCAAUGCUAAGGAAGAUCAUGAAAUGAGAUACUCCUCGUGUAGAAUCUUUCAAUAAAAAUCUUGAUAAUUACUUGAUUGGUGACGGUACAUCCCCAUCCAAUGCAAUGGACAGUAGUAGCUCUUCAAACUGGAAUUCCAGAGUAACUCUUCGAGAAGUUCCUCCAUCUUCAGUGCAGUCUUCUCACAUUCCAACUGCAAUAAGAGCUGAAGGACACAUACCUUCUCCAGAUGCACCUAAAGUUGCAGCAUCUGAAAAUGUUAUGUUGGAUGGAGCACAUACAACACCGACUAUCCCGAAUUCUCAAGCAGAUGUUAUCAUCCCUGAUUUACCUCCACCACCAAACGAACCUAGACACAUGCUAUCAGCCACCAAAGUAGUGUCAAAAAGUCCUUUAGAUAUCCAGAUUACAGGAUCCUGUUCAAGCAAUGGAGCUGCCGAUUCAACAGCACUUCCUGCAGCAAACUCUUGGGCUAGGUGUGUAUCUGGCAGUCUUCCACAGGAUACUAGUUCAUCGUGUUCUAAUAAUCUGGCCAAGAAAAAGAUUGAAGCGUCUAAUGGCCCCCAAGCCCUUAUGCCGGGGUUUGCUUGCACUGAAAGGUCUAUUCUUGAUAUAAAGAAUCGGGAGAAGACAAAAAUAAUGUGCAUUCCAAUAGUGUAAUUGUACCUUCAGCAUUGAACAAACAUCACAUUGGCGGAAAUUCUCAAACAUCAGCUUUCGUAGGCCUUGAUCAAGAUAAGGCUGCACCCUCCACGAGUACAAGCUUCCUGGAGACUGGCAGACCUCACAAUUUGAAUACUAACAAGGCAGUUUCCAAUCGGGAUGUGCAUGGCUUAUGUUCUGAGUUAUCAUCCGUUAACAUCAACAAUAAUCUUAAAGAUUCAUAUUUCACUCGGGAUUCAGACAAGUUACUUUUUUCUCCUAACUCAAUUAAUUCCUCUCUAGGGAAGCAUUUUCCUCAAGAUAGUGAGUAUUGUAAAGAUCAUUCAACCACACCAGCUUUUUGGGAAGAUAUAAUUGUGGAUGAUAUGCUAAAUAAAGACUUUGAUCAACAACAGUUCUGCAAAGGCACUAACAAUUUAGCAUCCGGGCAUCAUUCACCUCAUUAUCUUCAGAAUCCAAACCAAUCAAACCAUGAACUGAAGCAUCAAAAUCAAAUUUGUAACCAGAAUCAUUUAAGGAAACCUUCUGAAACUUUUACUGAACCCUUGGGGGCAAGAUUUGAGAAGGUUGUGGAGAGAGAGGACACUGGUUUAGAUGUUGAUAACAAGGUUGCUUCAGACAUCGGAGAAAACAACAUUAUAUCUAACAUUUUGUCUUUGGAACUAGAUGCAUGGGAAGAUUCACUAGUUAAGUUGUUGGAUGAAACUGAUACAGCCUUCAAAGCACCUGCUUUGCGGAAAAUCCAAGACAAGAAUCAGUCCAGGUUUUCCUUUGCCAGACAAGAUGAUUCCUUGAAUAAGACAUCUGUUUUGCAGCAAUCUGGGAUCCCAAACAAUUAAGCAGCGGAAAAUCCAAGACAAGAAUCAGUCCAGGUUUUCCUUUGCCAGACAAGAUGAUUCCUUGAAUAAGACAUCUGUUUUGCAGCAAUCUGGGAUCCCAAACAAUUAAGCCUAAUACGGAACUCUCAUUGGCUGCAAAAGAAGGUCUUGGACUUAGCAUUGGAGGUGAUGUUAGCAAACAAAUUGUUCAACACACGCGUAAAUAAGAAAGUCCCGUAGUUUCUGGAAGUACUAGCUUAUCUUUAAGCAUUAAGGAGCAUUUGUUUACAUCUGUUACAAGUCCGAAAAUUAACAAGAUGAAUCCUGAUCUUGAUAAAGGAGAACCUGUCUCACUGGAAUUAUCUUUAAGCAAGGAGGAAUGCAGUACUCAUGGUUCAAAUACUGAUGCUAAAAGUGAUAAUGACACUACUCGUGUUAAUAGCAGGGCUAACUGGGAUCUGAAUACUACAAUGGAUGCAUGGGAUGAAGGGAGUGAUGCCAGUUCUGUUAAAACUUCUAUUGAUGGGCUAAACAUUACUCACAGUGCACACGAUGAGAAACAGUUAAUGAGCACUAGGAUUCCAAAGGUACAACAACUUGUGAAUGAUUUCUUUGAAGGAAAGGAACCAAACAAGGGUGUUAACCCUGUUAAAGCAGUUGACGUAGCUAAUGGUCAUCUAGUAUGUGGAUGUGGAAAUAUAUCCUCCCGCAAUAACAAUGCGGAAACUCCUCACCAGGAGGCUCGUGUUAUGUCUGCUAUUCUUCUCCGGAAGCAACUCACUCGCGAUGAUUCAUUUCUUUGGCCGCAUCUUUCGCCUCAAACUCAUUCUUCUCUCAAAUCGCUUCUUCUUUCUUCAAUUCAAACCGAAAACUCCAAAUCGAUUUCUAAGAAGCUUUGUGACACAAUCUUUUUGAACUUGCUUCUGUACAUCGGUGAUUCUCCCACGCCGCAUAUCAAACACCUUCAUGAUAUCUUUCUUCAGUGUCUUACUUCCUCUACUGUUAAUCCCGAUGUUCGAAUUACUGCUCUUAAUGCUGUUAUCAAUUUCAUUCAGUGUCUGUCUGGUUCCGCCGAACGAGAUAGGUUUCAGGACUUGCUGCCGGCUAUGAUGACAACUUUGACCGAGGCGCUUAAUUCUGGCCAAGAGGCCACCGCACAGGAGGCUCUUGAGUCGCUUAUUGAACUUUCCGGGACUGAACCUAGGUUUCUCCAAAGGCAGAUUGUUGAUGUUGUUGGGGCAAUGCUUCAAAUUGCUGACGCAGAGUCCUUGAAGGAAGGAACUAGGCAUUUGGCUAUUGAGUUUGUGAUUACUCUUGCUGAAGCUAGAGAGCAUGCUCCUGGUAUGAUGAGGAAGAUGCCACAAUUUAUUAGCAGGUUGAUUGCUAUUCUUAUGAAGAUGCUUCUAGAUAUUGAAGAUGAUCCAGCUUGGCACACUGCGGAGACUGAAGACGAGGACGCCGGUGAAAGUAGCAAUUGUAGUGUUGAACAGGAAUGUUUGGAUAUGUUAUCUAUAUCUUUGGGAGGAAAUACGAUUGUUCCUAUUGCCUCUGAACAAUUGCCUGCAUACAUGGCUGCACCCGAGUGGCAAAAUUGCCAUGCUGCAUUGAUUGCACUUGCUCAGAUAGCUGAAGGAUGCUCCAAGGUCAUGGUAAAAAAAUUUGGAGCAAGUGGUGGCUAUGGUAUUGAACUUGUUUCCCGAUCAACAUCCCCGUGUGAGGGAGUGUUGCCAGCCCUAGCUGCCGCCAUGGUUGAUUUUCAGAACCCUCAUGUACAGGCUCAUGCUGCCUCAGCAGUACUCAACUUCAGUGAGAAUUGUACACCUGAUAUUUUAACGCCAUACUUGGAUGGAAUAGUUAGCAAAUUGCUUGUACUUCUUCAGAAUGGUAAACAAAUGAUUUGCCUUCUCAUAAUGGUUUUGAACAUGUCCAUGCUGCACUAUCCGCUCCAUUGCUUGCUGAAGUAGUAGACAGGAUGCCCAUUUUGUAUCAAUAUUACACACACUCCAUUUCUUCAAGUGUGUUGAGAAAUUUCACUGCAGUAAAAAAUCACAAUAACUCAGUAAGGCAGUAAAAGUUCACAAGCAACAAAAAUGAAACAUUUUCACAGAAGAAGUACAAGGUACAUGUUACCUUUUUCAGAAUAAGCACCAAAACAGGGUAGACAAACUAACGGCACCAAAAGCACUUCUAAGUCCGACUCCUUUUGAUCUCAGCUGCCAAUUCAAAACCCUAGCAGUGGGACUAUAAGAGGAGACGUUACUGUUCACUAAGAAGGAAGAAGAGCCGAAAAACCCUAAUUCCUUAGAGUAGCCGCCACUGAUCACUAACAAGGAAGGGAGAAUUCUGCAAAAACACAAAGAGCCGACUGUUCACACAAAUAAAAUCCUACCGUUGAACCACCCACUCCAAAUCUCAUUUUUCCCAACAACCAUCGCAUCUUCCAAAAUAAAAUCCUACCGUUGAACCACCCACUCCAAAUCUCAUUUUUCCCAACAACCAUCGCAUCUUCCACCUUGGCUCUCAUUAUAUCCAAACAUAACCACCAUUACCGCCGUCAUCUUCUACAACAUUAUGACCUCUUCGAUGACAUGGAUCAGCUAGUCUGUUGUUAGGUAACAGCAAUACAAAAACUGGAGUUGCCAUUCAUCUCACUCGUUGAAGACUUUGGUGCUCGAAAAGAUAACAAGCUGCAACAAUAGGGACGUCACUAUAACCACCACCACGAUAUAACCAUUUUCGACGCGGUCCAAGAAUCUAGCAUCAACAUCACACAACAUCGUCAGUCGACAUCAGGUGCAUCCAUAGCUGACUUGCUUAGGAAAGAAAUAUAUCGAAAAUGAAAGGAGUUUGAGUUCCGGUUACUUUUUUUGUUGAUUGAUGUUGUUCGGACAUAGUUGCAUUGCAUGAGAGAUGAUGUACGGUUCACGGUCCAUGGAAGGAUUUUUUUUUUAUUGCAGAAGGUUAAAUCCAUUUGUUUCUUGUAGCAGGUGUGCAUUAAAAUGAAUAUGUUUAAAAGGACCUAUUACUGUUUUAAUUUUGUGUUUUAUUUAAAAGGGUUUGGUCCGUUUUUUUUAUGUUAUGUAUUAGUGCUUAAGACUAUAUGAUAAGGAUGCCUGUUUGGAGGAGUUGGUAAAAGGAUGCUUUAACAAGCUCCUAGUCCUGGGUUGAAUUCCCAUAUGUGUCAUAUUUGAUUUUUUGCAAAACUUUAAUUUCUAUUUCACAUUUUUGUUUUAAUCCCCUCAUAAUGUUUACCCUUUUAUUUUAUUUUAAUUGUUAAACAUCGAUUUUAAUUUUAAUUUAUGUGAUUCAACAAUUUCCAUGUUGUUUAUCUAAGAUUAUUUUUUAUCGAUACAUCAGAUAGUAUUUCGCGCGUUUUGACUUAAUCGCAUAUGACAUUUCAUUAUUGUCACAUGCGCAACCGGCUUUGAGCACAUUUUUAGGCUUGUGUUGUCCCUCAAUUUUUAUCCCGUGCGCGUCCGAUGUUGUUUCUUUCAAUUUAAUUUUUAAGGUCUUGUUAAUUAUUUUGUAUUUGUUGUUUUCUUCUAGGUAUCUUAUCGGCUUCCCUCGCGGGUCAGUUCUCUUGCACUUUCACUCAUACAUUGAUUAUUGUUGUUUGGGCCCGAUUUAAUUAUUCCAGUACUUUGAAUCCCCAUUCGAUAAAAUGUACCCCCAUUCCCUUGGCAUGUAAUAAUUUUACUGUUUUAUUUCUUUAUUGUUUGGCUGUGUAGUUAGCUACAAACACAAGAAUAAAAUCAACCAUUUCCAAAAGAUCAAAAAUAAUGACUCGAUCCAACGUCGAGUAUUUUCUCAAUAAACAAAUCAAUCCAUUUCUUCUUCCCAUUCUAUUCCAUUUCUCUCAAACUUUCAUCAAACGCUUGAUCCAACGUUAAGUCAUUUUUAUAAUAAAAACUCAAAAAAAUAUUAAUUCAUAUUUAAGACCUUUUCAAUAAAGAUGGAAAUGGAGCGUGGUGUAUACCGCGCACUCCUGAGACUAGGAUUCGAGAUGGAUAUCUCGCUCAUCCUAGUUCUCGCCGUCAUCCAAAUUCAUCCACUUUGUUUUAUCUCAAACACUCAUUCAAAUCUUUCUCGAUCGCUCAUCAAAUGCUUGAUCUAAUGUCAAGUCAUUUUCACAACAAAACUCAAAAUACUUAAUUCCUAUCUAAACACCUUUCAAUAAAGAUGGAAAUGGAACAUGGUGGAUACCAUGCACUCCUGAGAUUAAGAUUCGAGGCGGAUGCCUCGCCUAUCUUAGCUCUCGCCAUCAUUUAAAAUUGUCAAUGCGGUUUCUUUAAACCCUUUCUCAAUCAAACCUCAAAAAACACUUAAUGAACAUUUUUGCAAAUAAGAUGGAAAUGGAACGUGGUGUAUACCACGCACUCCUGAGACUAGGAUUCGAGAUGGAUAUCUCGCUCAUCCAAGUUCUCGCCAUUACUCAAAACACAUCAAACCAAUCAAUUUCUUUUUCUCGCCGCCGUGCGAUUAACCCUUCAAACCUUUUCUCAAACGAAAGGUACUUUGUUUCAAAAUAAUGCAAGGCAAUGUUUUUCCACCUGUUUUGGGUAGUCCAAUAAUGUUUUCGACGAUUUGACACAAAGUAGCUUUCGCUAAAAUCGACCAACAAACAAACAUUUUUCUACCCAGAACUACGUAAGCCUUGAUUUCUCUGUUGAGAUACGUAGGAGCAGGAUUUGUAAAUUUUGUCAGACCCACUAAUAAAAAACUUAGGUUUAGUCCUUCGUCAAAAAUCCAAAAAUAUUCUCCUCUCAUCCUUUCUUCUAUUCUUUCUUUCCCGCUUAAUAAUUUGAAAAGCCUAACAUGUCAAACUAACACUAAUGCACACAACUAACCUAAUGGUUCCCGUUGAGUACAACGGACGUGAGGGGUGCUAAUACCUUCACCUCGCGUAAUCGACUCUCGAACCCUAAUUUGGUUGCGACGACCAUAAUCAUUGUCGUUCUUUCUUGGGUUUUAUCGAUAUUUCCCCUUUCCUUUUUAGGAAUAAAUAAAGUUUGGUGGCGACUCUGUUCAGUCCAACAUUGCGAGCGUGCGAUUGCACUUCGCUUAAAGUCGUAUCCCCAUUUUUAAUUGAGGUACGACAGAUGGCGACUCUGCUGGGGACAGACCGUUCCCUAAGUGAGUUAAGCCUAGUUAGGACGUUUGUGUGCUUUUGUUUGUUUAAUUGUGUGGCUUUUCCUUAUUUAUUGCUUUUUAUUAUCUUUUAUUGUUAUAUUGAUAUAUCUGUUGUAUAUUGGUUCUAUUGUGAUUGUUGGUAUUUGGGUAUUUGAUUGCUAACCAUGUGGGAAAGACUCUACACCCGAGUCUAGAGUGAAAAAACAUAAGAUAGGACGAUGGUUGAGUAGUACGGACUCCCGAGGUGAAUACUUCAUAAGAGUCGGUACGAGAACCUCACUUAGAGUAGAUCCUUUUGCAGAUAUUGUCGCCCGAGGUGUAUACCUCGUAAGCUUCAAUGUUUCAAAGGGGCCCGUGACUCUAAGAACCUUUUAGAACAUUGAACCUUUGGCCAACUAGAAAUGAUGGUUGCGUAGUAUGGAUUACCGAGGUGAAUACUUCGUAAGAAUCGAUACGAGAACCUCGCUCAGAAUAGAUUCUCUAGAUGGAGUUGACGAUCGGAAAGUAUUUUCCGUAAGCGUCAAACAUUCUUUUAGAACAAGGAACCAUGUCUCAAGAGAUGAUGGACGAGAUAAGGAAAGGUCAAGAAGCAUUGAAGGAGGAACUCAAUCUUUUGAAGAGCCAAAUGGGAUGGGUCGUGGAAACCUUGCAAGCCUUAUUGAGAAAGGAGGGUCAUCCCAUACCCAUUGCUACAACAGAGGGAGCUACUACUCCACAUCCAUCUGGUGUUACCCCAAGUCAAGGGAAAUUCUAUAUGGCAACUCCUCACCUACCAGCAUAUGGACCUCCCUUAGGAUUGUCCAUCAUCAACAUCCUCUGACUAUUCCUCCUCAAAAUCACCAAAGUCAUGUUCAAAGCAAAAUCAGAAUCAGAACAAGGGAACAAAAAUCACACGACCCGAUUCCGGUGCCAUAUAGCAAGCUCUACCCACAACUGAUCCAGAAUGCUUUGUGACCCCUCGAGCUCUCACACCUGCGUCACCAUACCUGCCAUGGUACAAUCCAAAUGCAACAUGUGAAUUCCAUAAAGGGGCAGUGGGACAUGACUAGAUUCUUGCUUAACGCUGAAAGCCUUGGUACGAGAGCUGAUUAACAAAAAGAGCUUAGUCUUUGAAGAAGAUCACCCGAAGGUCAACGUGCGAAUACCAUACCUGGAACAAUGGGCACUCCUCGAGGAAUGCAAGAGUUUUAAGUUCAGCUGCAAAGAUUGGUUGACAUUAGGUCACCAACACUCAAGGAGGAAAGCUCAGGUACAUACAUCUUUGAUUUCUGGGCCAAGUAGCGAGAAAGGAAAAGGACCUCAGAAACCCCUCAAGGUUUUGUACCAUAAGGAAGAAGUCAGGGAGGUGGCUAAUGAGAUAUCAUCGUUUCCCGAUAAGUGAAUUGAGAUACACCUUGGAUUUCUAAUGUCACGACCCAUGGCAACGGAAGCAAAGGAGAAGUGAGUAGUGGAUCCAAGAGGGUUGCAUCCAACGAUCAGAUUGAAGGAAAAGAAUUUGAAGAUCGUCGUGCCAAUAUCAAAAAGUUUCUUGAUCCCAACCUUCAAGUGGCUGAAUAUGAGCAAUUAGCAAUGCCCGAAGUGUCGUACCAGCAAACGCUACCUUUUGGUCUUCAUUACAAACAAUCCUUGUUUGCUCCUCAUCCAAAUCAACAAGCCCAAGGCCCGAGAUAUCAAAAUCAGCAUAGGCCUCAAAAUAACUUGGAAAGAAGAAAUGAUCCUCAUCAUCCAAUCCUCAUGACAUAUAGCCAACUCCUACAACCUCUGAUUCAAAACUCGUUGGUGGUUCCCAAGUCUCUUAAGCCGGUUCCACAACCUUACCCACCCGGGUAUGACCCAAAUGUGAAAUGUGGAUAUCAUGCCAGAUCAGAAGGGCACUCAACUGAAGACUGCAACGCUUUCAAAGCCAAAGUACAACCGUGAUUGACAACAGGUACAUAGCCUUUCAAGAAGGAAGUUUGGUGGUAAAUGUUAACCUAUCAGCCGAAUAAGUGCGAAGAUCUCAAGGGGUGUCCCCUGAAGUUAAUGGAUCAAGUUUGAAGAAGUCAUUCCCUAAAACUGGCAAUCAUUUGGCUUUUUCGGCAUUUCUUUUGUAGUUUCCUUGCAUGUUGAUUGUUAAUUGCUUUUAAGCAUUGUUGUUUUCUUUGAAUUGGUAAGAUUAAUGAAAUGUUUAUGCAUCUUUUGAAAUUAAUCAUCGUAUUCACUCGUUUUUCAUUCAUGUUAAACAACAAAAACACCCCUCUAUUCACUUGUGUUUAUCAAACCGUUGUGUUACAAAGAUUGCAAGGAGGAUGAGAUGAAAACGAAACACCUGAAAUUGUUGUGGUAUGCUUUUGAGUAAAACCUUGUCGAUGAUGUAAGGCAUUGUUUCAAAUCCCCAAACACUGAAGAGAUAAGGAGUUAAUCCCUAGUCAACCACUUUGAGCCUAGAAAUUGGUGUUUAUUUCGGAUCUAAAACCCUUAAUCUUAACCUGGGGCAGGGUAGUUAUGUUCAGAUAGUUUGAUCGUGCAUUCGAUCUUUCAAAAAUCGUCCAUAUGUACAUCCUCCAAUUAGGUUUAACCACACGUUAUCCUUCGCGCAUAUGUUUAAGUGUCGAAGAAGUUGAGAAAAGCUAAAAUUAGUGUUGGUUGAUCCUUAUCCACCAAUAAUAUGGCAGUCAACACCUUUUAAAAAAAAGAUUGAAAAAAGCUCGCUAAGUCAAAUAUGACUUAGGCAAAAGUUAGGGCAUCUCGAUGGACCGAAAGCUUCAAAGAUGCGGUCCAGGAAAAAUUAGGGAUAAAGAAAAUCAAUCAAAAGAGGUCAUUAAAUCCUCAACAACAACAAAAUAAGGUGACUGCCAUUGCAAGAAAAUCUCACCUUGAACCCUCAUUUCCACUUUCGCACCUUCGAGAUCGAAUGCGUGUAUUGAAUUAACUGAAUAUAGGAACUGGAGAUCAUCAAGAAGAAGGGGUGGGUAAAAAUAAAUUUUGAGCCUUAUAUCCUUUUGUUUAAAAAACCGUGAACCAAGCCACGUUACAAUCCUUAAAAGACCUAAUUGAGGCAGAGUUUAUUCUGAAAGCAUACUACAACAAGGUUGUGUUAACUUGACUCCAAAUGAUUUUUGUUAACCAUUUGAUGACACAGACUUACAUGUUGUGAAUGACUUGCUCAUCAUUGUGUUGUUAUUAAUGACUCGUUCACUGUAUUUCACCCGUUAAUAUCAAUAAACUCUGAUUUCAAAUUUUUGCAUAAGCACCGCAUUAAAAUUACCAUUUUUGAAUGCACAAUCUUAUUUGUGAGUCAACACUUAGCAUUAAAGAAAUUCCAACAAUAUACAAUUGAGGAAUUUGAUAAGGUGAAAGAAGUCCAGUCAUGGGAAAAUCACUUUGAGUAUCAUUCAAUCCGAUCCAAUCACCCCAAGGGUCUCUUAGCAAAAAGUGAUUUGCUUUAAGACACAGACCGGGGAAAGCCACCUCAGAAGCUCAUUGAGUCCAACUAUCCAAAGACAGUCAAUCAGAAGUCUACCAUUCCAGGUUUUGGUGAAUUAGGGUCAGGUCAUUGCGGUAUGCAAACAUUGGGGCAAGCCAUCUCGAGAUCGUCUCAUGUCAAGUUGUUCCAAACUCACUUUCAAGGUGAACAUCUUCAAAGACCCAACAGACUGGGGCAAGAGGAGCCACAGAGGGGAAGAAUCCCUCUUCAUAUUUUCAAAUUACUCAAACAAAUUAUGCUAGCAUGAUUCAUUAAUCCUCCAAAAGAGUCCCAUUGGCUAUGUUGUGGCUAUCAAACUUGAUAGAAUUCUCCUUUGACAACAUCUAUCACAAAAUAUUUGGUUGAGUUCUCGAUGUUAAGGAAUCAUGAUAUCCAUAAAAAGCCUCUGCAACUCCCAGUCCACUCAAGUGUCAGCAUUCUCAUAAUCAUGAUCAUUCAUAUAUCAUGCAUAAAAGAAUUCAAAUCUACGUAUCGGCUUUACAUGAAGCACGAGUAAAACGUAACUGGGUGGUCUUGUUGUUGAUCCUAUAUUCUUUGACCUCUAAUUCUAGUUUUUCUUUGGUGCCCUUAAACCAUCAUUCGGUUUCCGUAGUCAUUUUCAAAUCCAACUCAGUUGGCACCUAUCAAAAAAAAAUUUCAAGAGGUUCAUUUCCUUUUUGGAUUAUCCGAUGAAUUUCCGGAUUACUCCUUGGUUUAUUGAUGUAUUUCCAUAACUUGUCUGAUGUGUUUCCAGAUGUUUCCUCACCUAUCUGAUGUACGCUCAAAUAUGUUUGGCUUGUAUUCUGAUGUAUUUCCAGAAUUUCCUCGGCAUAUUAUCGGAUAUGUCUAUAUUCUGAUGUAUCUCCAGAAUAUCACUUGUAAUUCUGAUGCAUUUCCAGAAUUCGUUUGUUUUACUCUCCGAUGAAUUCCCGAACAUGUCAUUUUUGUUCGGACUCACUUCUAGAACCCAUAUGCCAUCACCUAGCACUAUUUUAAGGCUCAUUGGUGUCUCAUAAAAUUCAGCUGUCACUAGCAUUAUUCCAAGCUCAGUCGUUACUAAAACUCAUUUUGAACCCAAUUGUCGUUGGCAUCACUGUUAGUCUGUUUGUAAAUACAUUUGUGAUUGAAAUCUGAAGUUGGUUGUCGCCAACAUCAUUUCAAGUCUAGUUGUUGCUGGAAAAACUCCGUUGUAGCCGGUAAUUGUUUACUAAUGACUUUCAUCAAGUCCAAUUGUUGUUGGCACGUACAGAGAGUUUGAGUACCCUGUCUCUCCUGAUGGUUCCGUGAAAGUCAUGUAUGACUCAUCAUCUUGAGGAGUUCCAAGAAGCUUGGAGGUUUUUUUUCAUGUUAGAAAACUCCAAUGAUAUUGGUUUUGUUUGAUUUCUCUGUAAAGAAUCACCGUAGCCUUUUGCGUGGAUGAUCUACUUAUAAGAAGACUCCCGUUUAUCUUUGUUUUGCAUAAAUUCCCUGUUAGGAAUCUCCAAGAUCUGUGAUUGGAUGAAUUUCUUGUGAGAAAUCUCCAGAACUAUCAGAUGUUUUCUAAAGUGCCAGGUCAUGUAUGAACCUAUUGAUGAAACUUGCCUUGUAUGUUUUCCAAUAUUCUCAGGUCAUGUAUGAACCUAUUGAUAAAACUCCCUUUGAUUUUUCCCAAGUGUUGCCAGGUCAUGUAUGAACCUAUUGAUAAAACUCUCUUUGAUUUUUCCCAAGUGUUGUCAGGUCAUGUAUGAACCUGCUAUUGAGCACUCUUUAAAUAGUCAAGUGUUGUCAGGUCAUGUAUGAACCUGUUGUUGAAAAUUCUUUGAAUGUUCCUGUUUUGUCAGGUCAUGUAUGAACUUGUUAAUUGAAAUUCUUUGAAUAGUCAAGUGUUGUCAGGUCAUGUAUGAACCUGUUGUUGAAUAUUCAUUGAAUGUUCCUAUUUUGUCAGGUCAUGUAUGAACCUGUUAAUUGAAAUUCUUUGAAUAGUCAAGUGUUGUCAGGUCAUGUAUGAACCUGUUGUUGAAAAUUCAUUGAAUGUUCCUGUUUUGUCAGGUCAUGUAUGAACCUGUUAAUUGGAAUUCUUUGAAUAGUCAAGUGUUGUCAGGUCAUGUAUGAACCUGUUGCAGAAAAUUCUUUGAAUGUUCCAGCAUUGUCAGGUCAUGUAUGAACCUGCUGUUGAGCUUUUAUUCCAGUAUUACCAGGUCAUGUCUGAACCUGUUUUGAAGAAUCUUUCUCUUUGAUUAUUCUAGUGUCGUCAAGUCAUGUAUGAACUUGUUGCGGAAAUUUUCUCAAAAUGUUCAAGUUUGUCAUCAGGUCAUGUAUGAACCUGUUGAUAUACUCUUUUUGAAUUUUUCUGAGUUUGUUAGGUCAUGUCUGAGCCUGCUGUCAGAACUUCUUAAUAUUCCCCAUCAUUGUCAGGUCAUGUAUGAACCCGUUGCUGUCGAGCCUUUAUUCCAGUGUCGUCAAGUCAUGUAUGAACUUGUUCUGGAAAUUUUCUCAAAAUAUUCAAGUUUGUCAUCAGGUCAUGUAUGAACCUGUUGAUAUACUCUUUUUGAAUGUUCCUGUUUUGCCAGGUCAUGUAUGAACCUGCUGUCAGAACUUCUUAAUAUUCCCCAGCAUUGUCUGGUCAUGUAUGAACCUGUUGCUGAACCUUUUGUUCCAAUGUUGUCAAGUCAUGUAUGAACUUGUUGUGGAAAUUUUCUCAAAAUGUUAAAGUUUGUCAUCAGGUCAUGUAUGAACCUGUUGAUAUACUCUUUUUGAAUUUUUCUGAGUUUGUUAAGUCAUGUUUGAACUUGCUGUCAGAAAAUUCUUUGAAUGUUCCAACAUUGUCAGGUCAUGUAUGAAUCCGUUGUUGUUGAGCCUUUAUUCCAGUAUUACCAGGUCAUGUUUGAACCUGUUUUGAAGAAUCUUUUUCUUUGAUUAUUCAAGUGUUGUCAGGUCAUGUAUGAACCUGUUGCUGAACCUUUUGUUCCAAUGUUGUCAAGUCAUGUAUUAACUUGUUGUGGAAAUUUUCUCAAAAUGUUCAAGUUGGUCAUCAGGUCAUGUAUGAACCUAUUGAUAUACUCUUUUUGAAUUUUUUUGAGUUUGUUAGGUCAUGUCUGAACCUGAUGUCAGAACUUCUUGAUAUUCCCCAACAUUGUCAAGUCAUGUCUGAACCUGUUGUUGAGCUUUCAUUCCAGUAUUACCAGGUCAUGUAUGAACCUGUUUUGAAAAAUCUUUCUCUAUGAUUGUUUCAGUGUUAUCAGGUCAUGUAUGAACCUGUUGUAGAAAUUUUUCUCAUUCGGGUCUAGUAAGUCAUGUGUGAACUUACUGCCGAAAUCUCUUGUAUUCUAAGUGUCGUUCAUCGAAUUUCACUUUGAGUACUCUCUAGUGUGUGUCUGAUUCUCUAGCAGGAUUGUUUUCCCCAACGAGUUUGUCUUACCCUUUUGUCUGUUUCCCUGUGGACCAUCGGUAUUCCCCACAGAUUGGUCUGUCUAGUAGAAUCUCCGUAUCCCUAACAGAUAAAUUCAAAAAAAUAAAGAGUCUUGCAUCCAUGCAUAUCAUAUCAUAGCUUUUUCAUUUUUCAGGUUCAAAAUCUGGGUCUCCAUGGUAUUUAACCAUCCCCCACUGCGAUCCGAUGAAAAAUGUUGUUUCAUUUUCCUCUGGUGGAGGAUGUUUAAAUAGGGGCAACUGUCAUACCCGGAUUUUGGCCCUGGAAUAUUUCUUCAAUCACUCGUUUGCAUUCUUUCUUCAUGACCAUUCCAUCUGGUCAUGAUACUAUAAAAAAUGUUUGUUGUUGGACUCGCUACCACGACCAGUCCAUGUUUGUCUUUUGGGUUUUAUUUCUUGAUUUUUGGUAUAAGAUAAUUAAUCUCCUUAGUCAUGCGAGAUUUGAAAACUUUUUCAUUUGUUAGAAUCAAGUGAACCUCAUGUUUCAUCUUUCGUUCCAAUUUCAUCAAGGUGAUUAUUCAUUUGUCAUUUGUCUUAUUACCAGUUUCAUCCCCCUUUCGAGUAAAUCAUGUGUCAAAGUGCAAAAUAUUUUAUUUUGGGUCAUCAUGCAUAGUCAUUUUCUCAUUCAUUCAUAAUUCAAAGAAAUUCCAUACAUAUCUCUUCAUUCACAUUUAUAUUCUCCAUUUCACAUUCAAGAUUCUACAUUUCAUAUUCAAAAGUUUCAUUACAUUGGAAUUUUUUUCAUUCAUAUUCAAGAAUUUCCACAUACUCAUUCAUAGUUCGAUCACUUCGUUCAUUCAUUCAAUCAUAAUCAUCCAUGUACAUGGCAUAUGAAUAACUUAUAAUCAAAAAGCAUCUCAUCACAUGAAUACUUGAAGUUUCUAAGAUGUAAAGAGAGAUCUUUGUCUUGCUACAAGAAACACCGAUUUUCAUUCAUUGCAAAUCAUAAGAUUAUCCAAAAAAAAACAUACAUAAUUUACAAAAAUUGGCAUUUGGACCAAAUCCAACCAUCACCUUUCCCAUCCUGAAGAAAUUCACUCUCGUAACCAUCACUUUGCUGAUUUUCAUAUGAUUCCU